GCAGACGUGGCCCAGUCUGGUAGAGGCACUUGGAUGGAAUCCAAGAGGUCGGACGUUCAAAUCGUCUCGUCUGCA
Molecule: transfer RNA, 75 nt
Filed under: bacterium
Lineage: Bacteria
Description: tRNA-Ser
Rfam family: tRNA
About the family: Transfer RNA (tRNA) molecules are approximately 80 nucleotides in length. Their secondary structure includes four short double-helical elements and three loops (D, anti-codon, and T loops).
Source: RNAcentral